GGUAGCCCGGAGAUGGGUACUGAGACAAGGACCCAGGCCCUACGGGGCGCAGCAGUCGCGAAAACUCCGCAAUGCACGAAAGUGUGACGGGGCUACCCCGAGUGCUGUCCGAUGAGGAAAGCUUUUCCUUGGUAUAAGUAGCCAGGGGAAUAAGGAGAGGGCAAGUCUGGUGUCAGCCGCCGCGGUAAUACCAGCUCUCCGAGUGGUAGGGAUGAUUAUUGGGCUUAAAGCGUCCGUAGCCGGCUUAGCAAGUCUCUUGUUAAAUUCAGCGACUUAAUCGUUGAAUCGCGGGAGAUACUACUAGGCUAGGAGGCGGGAGAGGUCGACGGUACUUCCGGGGUAGGGGUGAAAUCCUAUAAUCCCGGGAGGACCACCAGUGGCGAAGGCUGUCGACUAGAACGCGCUCGACGGUGAGGGACGAAAGCUGGGGGAGCGAACCGGAUUAGAUACCCGGGUAGUCCCAGCUGUAGACGAUGCGGGCUAGGUGUUGGAGUAGCUACGGGCUGCUCCAGUGCCGCAGAGAAGUUGUUAAGCCCGCCGCUUGGG
Molecule: ribosomal RNA, 546 nt
Filed under: uncultured archaeon
Lineage: Archaea
Description: bacterial SSU rRNA
Rfam family: Archaeal small subunit ribosomal RNA
Source: RNAcentral